UCNAGCCNUGCCGCGUGUGUGAAGAAGGNCUUAGGGUUGUAAAGCACUUUCAGGAGUGAGGAAGGGUAUAGUGCUNNUAUCAUUAUAUUUUGACGUUAGCUCCAGAAGAAGCACCGGCUAACUCUGUGCCAGCAGCCGCGGUAAUACAGAGGGUGCAAGCGUUAAUCGGAAUUACUGGGCGUAAAGCGCGCGUAGGUGGUUUGUUAAGUCUGAUGUGAAAUCCCAGGGCUCAACCUUGGAAUGGCACCGGAUACUGGNAGGCUAGAGUACGGUAGAGGGGUGUGGAAUUUCCUGUGUAGCGGUGAAAUGCGUAGAUAUAGGAAGGAACAUCAGUGGCGAAGGCGACACCCUGGACUGAUACUGACACUGAGGUGCNAAAGCGUGGGGAGCAAACAGGAUUAGAUACCCUGGUAGUCCACUGUG
This 423-nucleotide ribosomal RNA is filed under the name Marinomonas sp. Asnod1A05. RNAcentral describes it as "bacterial SSU rRNA". It matches the Rfam family "Bacterial small subunit ribosomal RNA", at positions 387 to 802 of the family's 1533-position model. Lineage: Bacteria; Pseudomonadati; Pseudomonadota; Gammaproteobacteria; Oceanospirillales; Oceanospirillaceae. The record is from RNAcentral.